UACAGAGGGUGCAAGCGUUGUUCGGAAUUAUUGGGCGUAAAGCGCACGUAGGCGGCCUAUUAAGUCGAAUGUGAAAUCCCUGGGCUUAACCCAGGAACUGCAAGCGAAACUGGUAGGCUUGAGUAUCGUAGAGGAUGGUGGAAUUCCCAGUGUAGAGGUGAAAUUCGUAGAUAUUGGGAGGAACAUCGGUGGCGAAGGCGACCAUCUGGGCGAUAACUGACGCUGAGGUGCGAAAGUGUGGGUAGCAAACAGG
This 253-nucleotide ribosomal RNA is filed under the name uncultured bacterium. RNAcentral describes it as "partial 16S ribosomal RNA". It matches the Rfam family "Bacterial small subunit ribosomal RNA", at positions 524 to 776 of the family's 1533-position model. The record is from RNAcentral.